CAAUAGCGUAUAUUAAAGUUGUUGCAGUUAAAAAGCUCGUAGUUGGAUUUCGGGUAGGAUUUGCCGGUCCGUCUUUGAGAUGUGUACUGGUAAGUCCUAUCUUCUUGUCGGGGACCAGCUCCUGGGCUUCACUGUCCGGGACUGGGAGCCGACGAAGUUACUUUGAGUAAAUUAGAGUGUUCAAAGCAGGCCUACGCUCUGAAUACAUUAGCAUGGAAUAACACGAUAGGACUCUGGCCUAUCUUGUUGGUCUGUAGGACCGGAGUAAUGAUUAAGAGGGACAGUCGGGGGCAUUCGUAUUUCAUUGUCAGAGGUGAAAUUCUUGGAUUUAUGAAAGACGAACUACUGCGAAAGCAUUUGCCAAGGAUGUUUUCAUUAA
Molecule: ribosomal RNA, 379 nt
Filed under: uncultured eukaryote
Lineage: Eukaryota
Description: partial 18S ribosomal RNA
Rfam family: Eukaryotic small subunit ribosomal RNA
Source: RNAcentral